This 253-nucleotide ribosomal RNA is filed under the name Anaerostipes hadrus. RNAcentral's name for it is "partial 16S ribosomal RNA". It matches the Rfam family "Bacterial small subunit ribosomal RNA", at positions 1 to 232 of the family's 1533-position model. Lineage: Bacteria; Bacillati; Bacillota; Clostridia; Lachnospirales; Lachnospiraceae. The record is from RNAcentral.
UUAAACAUGAGAGUUUGAUCCUGGCUCAGGAUGAACGCUGGCGGCGUGCUUAACACAUGCAAGUCGAACGAAGCUGCUUAACUGAUCUUCUUCGGAAUUGAUGUUUUGUAGACUGAGUGGCGGACGGGUGAGUAACGCGUGGGUAACCUGCCCUGUACAGGGGGAUAACAGUUAGAAAUGACUGCUAAUACCGCAUAAGACCACAGCACCGCAUGGUGCAGGGGUAAAAACUCCGGUGGUACAGGAUGGACCC